Molecule: small nuclear RNA, 104 nt
Organism: Zalophus californianus (California sea lion)
Lineage: Eukaryota; Metazoa; Chordata; Mammalia; Carnivora; Otariidae
Source: Ensembl
GUGCUUGCUUCAGCAGCACAUAUACUAAAACUGGAAUACAGAGAAGAUUGGCAUGGUCCCUGCACAAGUAUGACAUGCAAAUUCAUGAAACGUUCCACAAAACA